CCUACGGGUGGCAGCAGUGAGGAAUAUUGGUCAAUGGACGCAAGUCUGAACCAGCCAUGCCGCGUGCAGGAAGACGGCUCUAUGAGUUGUAAACCUCUUUUGCCGGGGAGCAAAGUGCCGCACGUGUGCGGUUUGGAGAGUACCCGGAGAAAAAGCAUCGGCUAACUCCGUGCCAGCAGCCUCGGUAAUACGGAGGAUGCGAGCGUUAUCCGGCUUUAUUGGGUUUAAAGGGUGCGUAGGCGGACGCUUAAGUCAGCGGUAAAAUUGCGGGGCUCAACCUCGUCGAGCCGUUGAAACUGGGUGCCUUGAGUGGGCGAGAAGUACGCGGAAUGCGUGGUGUAGCGGUGAAAUGCAUAGAUAUCACGCAGAACUCCGAUUGCGAAGGCAGCGUACCGGCGCCCAACUGACGCUGAAGCACGAAGGCGUGGGUAUCGAACAGGAUUAGAUACCCUAGUAGUC
RNAcentral lists this ribosomal RNA (459 nucleotides) under uncultured bacterium. Its description in RNAcentral is "partial 16S ribosomal RNA". It matches the Rfam family "Bacterial small subunit ribosomal RNA", at positions 338 to 795 of the family's 1533-position model. The record is from RNAcentral.